CUUGAUGUGCCCACAGACACUGCCAAGGACCAGGGACUCGUGAGAAUCCGGAGAUCAAUAUCUUCGCAAAUUCAAGAACUAAGCGAUCGCUUCCAGUAUAUACCACGAAGCGUUAUUAUCGGCACUCCGUUCUUGAUGCUGUUCCUGGCCCUGCUUUGCUGCUAUAGCAUCUGCCUAGAUCCUCCAGAGACCUGAGGAACCAUCCACCUACUGAAUGAUCCCCCGGAUAUGACCUCGGCUGAGUUUUAUUGACUAUGAUUCCCACCCGACCAUGAUUGGGCUUCAUUCUGACUGAUCUCACGGUGACGACCCCUGGCUAUGUUCCUGAAUUCUUUUAAUAAAGAAUUUUUUAA
Molecule: long non-coding RNA, 353 nt
Organism: Hyla sarda
Lineage: Eukaryota; Metazoa; Chordata; Amphibia; Anura; Hylidae
Exons: 3
Source: RefSeq, a predicted model, not a curated record